UGGCGGUUCCUGCUGCCUCCUCAAAACUAGGGUUUCGACGGAACCCUAUCUCUGUUUCGCCCUCUCUUUCUCGAUCUCGGGGUCGAAUCCCCUUCUUCGAGGAGGCGAUCGGAAUCUUGCUCGAUCUUUCUCCAAGUUUUGAUUGGCGGAGCCGGUGCUGGAGAUGUCGACAGAAAGGAAGAGGAAGGUGAGCCUCUUCGACGUGGUGGACGACACUUCCGUGUCCGUGAAGCUGGGCAAGGCGAACGGAUCCUUAUCCGCUAAGACGGCGGCGCUUCCGCCGGGGGUAAACCGCUGGAGCGGUCGGCCCUACUCGCAGAGGUACCACGAGAUCCUGGAGAAGAGGAAGACCCUCCCGGUAUGGCAGCAGAAAGAAGAGUUCUUGCACGUAUUGAAGGCCAACCAGACUCUGAUCUUGGUCGGAGAGACCGGCAGUGGUAAAACAACUCAGAUUCCCCAGUUUGUCUUGGAAUGUGAGGACUUGGGCAAACGCCCAAUGGUUGCUUGCACUCAGCCUCGAAGAGUCGCUGCAAUGUCUGUUUCUCGUCGAGUUGCUGAGGAGAUGGAUGUAACAAUAGGAGAAGAAGUUGGUUAUAGCAUCCGAUUUGAAGAUUGCAGCAGUCACAGGACUAUUUUGAAGUACUUAACUGAUGGUAUGCUUUUAAGAGAAGCAAUGGCUGAUCCACUUUUGGAGAGAUAUAAGGUGAUAAUUCUUGAUGAGGCUCAUGAACGAACAUUAGCAACUGAUGUCUUGUUUGGGCUGCUGAAAGAAGUACUGAGAAAUAGACCUGAUUUGAAGCUAGUGGUAAUGAGUGCAACGCUCGAGGCUGAGAAGUUCCAGGGUUACUUUAGUGGGGCCCCUUUAAUGAAAGUACCUGGUAGAUUGCAUCCAGUGGAAAUUUUCUACACACAAGAGCCUGAAAGAGAUUACCUGGAAGCUGCCAUUCGAACUGUUGUACAGAUACACAUGUGUGAACCUUCAGGUGACAUACUUGUUUUUCUCACUGGAGAGGAAGAAAUAGAAGAUGCAUGUAGGAAAAUAACAAAGGAGAUCAAUAAUUUGGGUGACCAAGUUGGCCCUGUGAAAGUGGUGCCUUUGUAUUCAACUUUGCCCCCAGCCAUGCAGCAGAAGAUAUUUGAACCUGCACCAGCGCCACUGGAGGAAGGUGGCCCGGCGGGACGAAAAAUUGUGGUGUCGACAAACAUUGCAGAAACAUCAUUGACCAUCGAUGGCAUUGUUUAUGUUAUUGACCCUGGUUUCUCAAAACAAAAGGUGUACAACCCACGAAUACGGGUGGAAUCUUUGCUCGUCUCUCCAAUAUCAAAGGCAAGUGCGCAUCAAAGAGCAGGACGUGCUGGUAGAACCCAACCAGGAAAAUGUUUUAGACUUUACACAGAGAGAAGUUUUAAAAAUGACCUGCAAGAGCAAACAUAUCCAGAAAUUCUCCGGUCUAAUUUGGCAAAUACUGUUCUUACCUUGAAGAAACUUGGGAUUGAUGAUCUGGUUCAUUUUGACUUUAUGGAUCCUCCUGCUCCUGAAACAUUGAUGCGGGCACUUGAGGUCUUGAAUUACCUAGGUGCUCUUGAUGAUGAUGGCAACUUGACUAAGUUAGGUGAACUUAUGAGCGAGUUUCCCCUGGAUCCUCAGAUGGCGAAGAUGUUGGUUGUGAGUCCAGAGUUCAAUUGUUCCAAUGAGAUCGUGUCAAUAUCUGCAAUGCUCUCAGUUUCGUGUCGACUCCAUGCUUAUGCUGACCUUCCGUGGACUUCAUCUGUGAUAACCAAUUCUAUUUCUAGUACCCAAUUGCUUUCUCCGGCCUAGGGAGGCUCAGAAAGCUGCAGAUGAAGCUAAAGCUCGGUUUGGCCACAUCGAUGGGGAUCACCUAACACUGUUGAAUGUAUAUCAUGCAUAUAAACAAAAUAGUGAAGAUUCUUCAUGGUGUUAUGAAAAUUUUAUUAACCAAAGGACUUUAAAGGCUGCUGACAAUGUGAGACAACAGCUCGUGCGGAUCAUGGCUAGAUUCAACCUGAAACUAUGCAGUACAGACUUCAACAGCCGUGAUUAUUACAUUAACAUCAGGAAGGCGAUGCUUGCAGGGUACUUCAUGCAGGUAGCUCAUCUUGAGAGAACCGGACACUAUUUGACGGUGAAGGACAAUCAGGUUGUUCACCUCCAUCCAUCAACCUGCCUGGAUCAUAAGCCGGAAUGGGUCAUCUACAAUGAGUAUGUCUUGACCAGUAGGAACUUUAUUCGCACAGUGACAGACAUUCGAGGAGAGUGGUUGAUUGAUAUAGCUCCACACUAUUAUGAUCUGAGCAACUUCCCCUCCUGUGAGGCAAAACGAGUGCUGGAAAGGCUGUAUAAUAAACGUGACAAAGAGAAGGGGGAGAGCAAGACUAGAAAUAAGCCUUUGUAGCUAUGUACUCACCACCAUUUGGUAUGCCAUCACGGACUAGCUCGAGAACAGUUGAGACUUCGAUCUGACAAGCGGGAUGGCUUGCACAUUUAGAAAGAGUGCAUUUCUUUUGGGAAGGACAGACACUAUAAAGCUCGUUCUCACUGUGUUUGAUCAGAUAAGAAGGCAACUAUUUUGCUCCCAAAUAGUUGAGGAUGCUUUUAUACUUAUCCUAGGACUCCACAUCUGCGAGUGCUAUCAGAUUGUUUAAGUGUCGUACCUAUUUGGGGUUUAGGAAAUGGAAAACAUGUCUCCCUUGUUUGGUUCCGCCGCCGGUGCCUUGUCCCCGUAGUUUGAAUUGUCUAUUUAUUUGAUUGUCGCAGGUGAAAUAUAGAAUCUUUAAUCACUGUCUGGUUACAAGUUGAGAUGUUGCAUCCUCUGGAACAACGGCCUUCUCGUCCAAUGUAGUUGCUGCAUUGCAAGAAUCUCUGAGUUAUGUUGAUGGAUCUUUUCUGUA
RNA transcript from Musa acuminata AAA Group (dessert banana), 2910 nucleotides. It is a transcript of the gene named probable pre-mRNA-splicing factor ATP-dependent RNA helicase DEAH2, with no coding region annotated. Lineage: Eukaryota; Viridiplantae; Streptophyta; Magnoliopsida; Zingiberales; Musaceae. The transcript is spliced from 7 exons. The record is from RefSeq and is a predicted model, not a curated record.